This 497-nucleotide ribosomal RNA is filed under the name uncultured bacterium. RNAcentral describes it as "partial 16S ribosomal RNA". It matches the Rfam family "Bacterial small subunit ribosomal RNA", at positions 28 to 507 of the family's 1533-position model. The record is from RNAcentral.
GAUGAACGCUGGCGGCGUGCCUAAUACAUGCCAGUAGAACGCUGAAGGAAGGAGCUUGCUCUUUCCGGAUGAGUUGCGAACGGGUGAGUAACGCGUAGGUAACCUGCCUGGUAGCGGGGGAUAACUAUUGGAAACGAUAGCUAAUACCGCAUAACAGUAGAUGUUGCAUGAUAUCUACUUAAAAGGUGCAAUUGCACCACUACCAGAUGGACCUGCGUUGUAUUAGCUAGUUGGUGAGGUAACGGCUCACCAAGGCGACGAUACAUAGCCGACCUGAGAGGGUGAUCGGCCACACUGGGACUGAGACACGGCCCAGACUCCUACGGGAGGCAGCAGUAGGGAAUCUUCGGCAAUGGACGGAAGUCUGACCGAGCAACGCCGCGUGAGUGAAGAAGGUUUUCGGAUCGUAAAGCUCUGUUGUAAGAGAAGAACGAGUGUGAGAGUGGAAAGUUCACACUGUGACGGUAUCUUACCAGAAAGGGACGGCUAACUACGUG